Miniopterus natalensis is the source of this 1408-nucleotide non-coding RNA. The record is from RefSeq and is a predicted model, not a curated record. Lineage: Eukaryota; Metazoa; Chordata; Mammalia; Chiroptera; Miniopteridae.
GCAAGGCUGGGAUUCCCGCACGAGCCCACCCAGCAGCCAGAAGGAGGCUCGGUGGCACCCAGCCCUCCGGCAAGACCAGGCCCGCGCCAUCCCGCUCCCUCCAGUGGGCGCCCGCAGGACCCAGGAGCGCAGCGGCCUUUUGCCCAGGGCCCCCUAAAGGCAUGGAGCUUGAGAGCGUCCAAACAGCCCUUCGACUCCGCGGCGCCCUUUCCUGACUUAAAAUAGUCAGCUUGCACCAUUAUUCACACGAUCGAAGUUGCUCUGUGCCUAGAUUUUCCUCCAAGGACAAAAAUGUGAAUAAAGCAAUAUUUCAGCCAAACAUUUCUGUGUCAAUUACGAAGACGGCAAUUCGUUCCAGACUAUAAAUUCUCUUUAACAGCCCUCUAAGGUAUUCUUUAAAAUUGUUUUUCAACAUUGCUAAAUGUGCAUCGUAAUGUGUGAGAGACUCGUGAGAAGGGAGUUAAUUUACAUAGUCAGCUGAUUAAUUGAUCGAGCGUUACCACCUGAGAGGAGGCACCUUUCCAUUGUUUCCUCGUUUUCCCCCAGCACAUGUUAUUUCUUAGUGAGGAAGCGAAGUGCAUAGGGUAUUGUGUUAACUUUAUUACACAGGCGUGGGCCUUAAACUAGGAAAAGCUUAGCCUAGCUCUACAUUUAAAACUUCACAUUUCUAUAAGUUAUGGGACAAGAUACACAGGUUGCUUUUGUAAGCUAGAAUUGAACAUAAUUUUUUUUUAAAUUUAAUCACAGGAAUAUUUUUUAAGGCACCCAGCAUCUCCAGUUAGUAGUACUGACUUUCUUUUUUCCAACAAAGGAACACUAUAUCAACACUCUUGAACCGGAUCUGGACACAGAAGACUCCUGUUUCAAGAAAAUACAAUCAUCUCUCAAAGUCUGUAAUUUAUAUGCAUUUUAACUGACUAGGUAUUGAAAACCACCCAAGAGUCCCACAGCAUGGGGUAAAAUAUAAUCAAUCACUCAGUGUAAUAUUAUACAUCCUUUAAAAAUGUUAUUGGAAAAUGUUUUAUGAUCUGUAAGUCGAAAUAACCCUCUCCCACCACUUCUUUCUCCCUGCUGCUUCCCCAAACCCAUGCUUCUUUGUUCCAAUUGGCAUGUAAACUUGUUUUUCCCGCCAAAUGAGUCAGUCAUGAUGGGAACGGCAAUUGAUUUGAACAGAUGUGUGUCAAUGUUACUUGGAAAACUAGAUGCCAAUAACCAGGACCACAAAAAAGGCAGUGGUUGCAACUCUGUAAAAAUUUAUGUGUGCAUACAGACAAGGACUGAAAUGGAACCCAAACAAAACAGGAAAACAGUUGGAUAUACUCCAGUGCUGGGAGAUUCAAUGAUUGUAUGCUGCUUUUGAUUUCCGUUCAUAUGGGCAACUGUCCAAUUAAAAAGACCUAAUAAGGAC